Molecule: long non-coding RNA, 1300 nt
Filed under: Calidris pugnax (ruff)
Lineage: Eukaryota; Metazoa; Chordata; Aves; Charadriiformes; Scolopacidae
Description: lncRNA (ENSCPUG00000011694.1)
Source: RNAcentral
CAUGGUUCUGGGCAUUGGUGGUGGUAGGUGAUACCAAAACCAGCUCCUGGACCAUGUUAGCCACAGAAACUACACAGCCUUCCAUCACCAGAGCACAGUUAGUGUAACUAUGCCCUGAGCACACACAAGGCCAUAUCUCACCAGGCCCAACUCAAAGCUUACGCAGAGCAGCAAGGAUAAAAAGUUUAAACAAGUUUCAUACUUCAUUUUUUCCCUGCUGAUACCAGCCAAGAUCAGGUCAUUGCCAUAACAAUAGUUUUCUCAGGGUCUACAGAUGCUUUUGCAGACUCUCAGCCUCUGCUCCAGACAGCACGAGCCCCUGUGGUCACAGCCACACGAGUAGAGGCUUGAGAUGAUGCUGCCUGGGAGCUGAGUACACAUGAGGACAAGGAGAGAUCACCUGUAAAAGGUGAGGGAAACUGGAGGGGAGAAAGAACGCUAAAUGAAGGGGAUCCCAGUUCACCAAAUCCAGUCCUCAAAGCAUGCUCUUUACCUUUCUCAGGAACGGAAGGUUGUAACUGGCCUCAGCAUUAUGGCUGGUCACAAACCGGAUCUUCGAGAAAAUCAAAAGAAGCUGAAAACUCCAGUUCCCCGAGCAGUUCUUCUGAGGGAGGAGAAGAAUGAAGCAGAACGGAUACAGAAAGGUGGUGAUGGGAGCGUGGCUGCCAUCAGCUGUGAAGCUCUGCAGCUAUGAAAUGCCAGCCUGAGCAUGCAAAGCACUGCAAGCUGCCAUUGUUCAUCCCCUGGGGAAAGGGGACAGCACUGCAGAUGGCAAGAAGCACCCACACAGCUGAAGGUGCUCUUAGGACCACCUCAUAUGGAUUCACAUACACCCAACGCCCAGAAGCACCAGGCCUCCCCCCAGGCAGAGCAUGGGAUCCCACACACAGCCAGUUCCAGUAGCUGGGAGGGUCUGGUGAGGACACAGCCCACAGACCCCACAACUUGCCUGUGACUGAGCAGGGACCAGCAAAUCCAUCAGCAAGAGACUGAUAGUUCCACAGCUGCAGCUGGAGGCAUCUGGAGGGGUGCUCACCUUGCCCUCGGAGCCAUACGUGUAUCUCCGUAGGUGAGAAGACGGCUGUUGAGGGCCUUAAGACAUGGAGCACGGUACGUACAAUACAGCCUCUGUUCAAAGUAAGCAGCAACAGAAUCGAAACCACUUCAUUUCAAGGGUGCAUUCAGGCCUUGAGCUGCAGUUGGCAUCGAGACAAUUCUCCAAAGUGGCAAAAGUGCUCCUGUUGAGGGAGCAAGUCCUGCCCAGCUCCCUCGGAUACAGCAGCAUGCAGCUGUUUCAAGG